CACACUUACAAUUCUGAACUCGAUCCC
RNAcentral lists this small RNA (27 nucleotides) under Bombyx mori (domestic silkworm). RNAcentral describes it as "ovarian small RNA-4655". The record is from RNAcentral. Lineage: Eukaryota; Metazoa; Arthropoda; Insecta; Lepidoptera; Bombycidae.